Molecule: unclassified non-coding RNA, 22 nt
Filed under: Dictyostelium discoideum
Lineage: Eukaryota; Evosea; Eumycetozoa; Dictyosteliales; Dictyosteliaceae
Source: RNAcentral
UCAAAAAGAUGGGUCGUUGGAU